This is a long non-coding RNA of Penaeus chinensis, 472 nucleotides long. RefSeq lists it as uncharacterized. Lineage: Eukaryota; Metazoa; Arthropoda; Malacostraca; Decapoda; Penaeidae. The transcript is spliced from 3 exons. The record is from RefSeq and is a predicted model, not a curated record.
GGCACCAGUGUGUUGGCGGCGCGUAGGGCCCGGCGAGGCGGCGACGCGUUGGGGGCAGCAGGUCGCGGUGGCGUGGAUGGCACAGCAGCUUCAGGCCAAACUGCUGCAGUGAGGAGGUGUAGUGAGCGGCGAGGAAGGAGAACCACUACCCUGGAGUUCAUCAAGCAAAUCUGGGGUGAUGAAGGCAGCUGGAAGGCCAGAGGCUACCAGAAUGUGUGAGAUGCCAGGCCAGCCCAUCUUCUUCCGGCAGGAUAACAAAAGUAACCUGCCACUCACCCCGUACGUCUAUCGGGCGGGAACACGAGGUCGCUUUGUGCAGCAGCUACGUCUCAUAUGGAAUCUACCAUGGGAUUUUAUUCUUGCACAUCCUUCCAUAACCUACGGUACCGGGACACCACAUGUGACCAGAUCGCCCCUGCCCUCUUUAUGGUGCUAAGCUUCAAGUACAGGCCAGUAAUUUAGUUCAGUGAUG